RNAcentral lists this ribosomal RNA (253 nucleotides) under uncultured bacterium. Its description in RNAcentral is "partial 16S ribosomal RNA". It matches the Rfam family "Bacterial small subunit ribosomal RNA", at positions 524 to 776 of the family's 1533-position model. The record is from RNAcentral.
UACGAAGGGGGCUAGCGUUGUUCGGAAUUACUGGGCGUAAAGGGCGCGUAGGCGGUCCCUCAAGUCAGGCGUGAAAGCCCCGGGCUCAACCUGGGAACCGCGCUUGAGACUGAUGGGCUAGAGUUCGGGAGAGGAUGGUGGAAUUCCCAGUGUAGAGGUGAAAUUCGUAGAUAUUGGGAAGAACACCGAUGGCAAAGGCAGCCAUCUGGACCGACACUGACGCUGAGGCGCGAAAGCGUGGGGAGCAAACAGG